GACGUAGGGGGCCAGCGUUGUUCGGAAUUACUGGGUGUAAAGGGUUCGUAGGCGGUGUAGCAAGUCGGGAGUGAAAUCUCUGGGCUUAACCCAGAGGCUGCUUCCGAAACUGCUGUGCUUGAGUGUGGGAGAGGCGCGUGGAAUUGCAGGUGUAGCGGUGAAAUGCGUAGAUAUCUGCAGGAACACCCGUGGCGAAAGCGGCGCGCUGGACCACUACUGACGCUGAGACACGAAAGCGUGGGGAGCAAACAGG
Molecule: ribosomal RNA, 253 nt
Filed under: uncultured bacterium
Lineage: Bacteria
Description: partial 16S ribosomal RNA
Rfam family: Bacterial small subunit ribosomal RNA
Source: RNAcentral